UACAGAGGGUGCAAGCGUUAAUCGGAAUUACUGGGCGUAAAGCGUGCGUAGUCGGUUAUUUAAGUCGGGUGUGAAAGCCCCGGGCUCAACCUGGGAAUUGCAUUCGAUACUGGAUAGCUAGAGUUCGGCAGAGGGAAGCGGAAUUUCCGGUGUAGCGGUGAAAUGCGUAGAUAUCGGGAGGAACAUCAGUGGCGAAAGCGGCUUCCUGGACCAGAACUGACGAUCAGGCACGAAAGCGUGGGGAGCAAACAGG
This 253-nucleotide ribosomal RNA is filed under the name uncultured bacterium. RNAcentral describes it as "partial 16S ribosomal RNA". It matches the Rfam family "Bacterial small subunit ribosomal RNA", at positions 524 to 776 of the family's 1533-position model. The record is from RNAcentral.